RNAcentral lists this ribosomal RNA (17 nucleotides) under Blumeria graminis. RNAcentral's name for it is "partial 18S ribosomal RNA". Lineage: Eukaryota; Fungi; Ascomycota; Leotiomycetes; Helotiales; Erysiphaceae. The record is from RNAcentral.
UGCGGGAAGGAUCAUUA